CUUCAGAGAAAUAAUAACCUGACUUCCUAUCCCUUUUACUGAUAACAAAACCAUUUUCCAAAAUAAACCUUUCGACAUGUUAUCUCCUUGCAGUCAUUUGCAGAGCUAUGUACUCACAUGUUUUAUCCUUUUUUUUUUCCUUUCUUUCUGACAGUAACAGCAAAGCCUCGCAGGCAAAGAUGUUUGUCGUUUCUGUCUGGAAGAGCAAUCAACUGGCAUGGAGGACAGUGAAGAAGGAAACCCUCAUUGCAGGAGUGGGCAUCACAUCUGGAGGAAGCUGCUGGCAGCUCAGAGACGCCGAACAGACGUGGACCAAACAGGCUGCAGUGACUGAUUCCCAGCUACCACAGGAGACUGCCUCAUACAGCUUCAUUCCUAAUUUAGUAGAGAAACCCAGAGGCGUAAAACAGAACAAACAGGUGAGUGUCACCAAUUCAGGGGAGCUUUAAAGAUGUUUUCCUGUUGGCUGUCUCCUGGGCUUCCUUCAUCUCCUCCUUUCCCUUUGCUUCCAAAACCC
Molecule: long non-coding RNA, 517 nt
Filed under: Gallus gallus (chicken)
Lineage: Eukaryota; Metazoa; Chordata; Aves; Galliformes; Phasianidae
Source: RNAcentral